AAAGAAAGUAAAUCAUGAUUAGUUAUUUAAACAUAAAAAAAAUGUUACGUGUCGCUUAGAGGCUUAGAGCUAAAUAACACUCCUAUGCUGUUUUUUUUUUUUUUUUUUUUUUAAAGCAGAAGGUCAUUUAUCUCCACUGCUGGCAUUAAGGUGUCAUUAAUAUUGAAAAGCCCAAUAUCAAUAAUAAAAACGUCUUCAGCACUGAGGCCUGGAUUGUGUGGAAGCAUUGGAUUUCUGCAAUUAAAAGAUCAUGUAAGGGAAAAACCGAAGCAGAACUCUGCAGCAUCACUGGAGGAGAACACAGGAUACAUGUGGGAGACAGAUCAGACGCUUCGAUGAUUCAAAUCCUGAUGACAUGAUAAGCAUACUUCUGACCUCAGUCCGUCACCAUGGUUUUCACUCCUGGUAAAUUCAUUUGUUUCAUCAGGAGAAUGCAGCCUUUCUAAGAUGCACUAUGAAAUUGAACACAGAAGGAGGUUUAGAAGAGACAAGCAACAGGGACAAACAAGCCAUUACAGGGCAGGAGCCCAUUGUCAGUUUCCAGAACUAUAAGAAAAUACAAGGGUUUCCUCUGGUGAUCAAAGCCACCCUGGUCAUGCGUGCAGCAGGUCAGAAGUGUCAGAGAUUCAGCUCUAGCAACCGUGGUCAUGAUGUGCUGUGUCAGCCCUUAUGGAUUUACCACUGAAGCUGGGAGAAGAGCACAUGAAGACAAGCCGAGGGGCAGAGAUUUAUCAAAGGGCUCCCUGCCUUUCUGGCAGAUGUGCUGCAGUGGCCCGCACUGAGACUCUCC
Molecule: long non-coding RNA, 790 nt
Filed under: Bos indicus x Bos taurus (hybrid cattle)
Lineage: Eukaryota; Metazoa; Chordata; Mammalia; Artiodactyla; Bovidae
Description: lncRNA (ENSBIXG00005003714.1)
Source: RNAcentral